GAUUAACGCUAGCGGCAGGCCUAAUACAUGCAAGUCGAACGGCAGCACGGGUAGCAAUACCUGGUGGCGAGUGGCGCACGGGUGCGUAACGCGUAUGCAAUCUACCUAUAACUGGGGAAUAGCCUUCCGAAAGGAAGAUUAAAACCGCAUAAUAUCACGAAGCGGCAUCGUUUUGUGAUCAAAUCUCCGGAGGUUAUAGAUGAGCAUGCGUGACAUAGCUAGUUGGUGAGGUAACGGCUCACCAAGGCUACGAUGUCUAGGGGGUCUGAGAGGAUGACUCCCC
RNAcentral lists this ribosomal RNA (283 nucleotides) under uncultured bacterium. Its description in RNAcentral is "partial 16S ribosomal RNA". It matches the Rfam family "Bacterial small subunit ribosomal RNA", at positions 28 to 309 of the family's 1533-position model. The record is from RNAcentral.